GUGAAUACGUUCCCGGGCCUUGUACACACCGCCCGUCACACCAUGGGAGUGGGCUGCAAAAGAAGUGGGUAGCUUAACCUUCGGGGGGGCGCUCACCACUUUGUGGUUCAUGACUGGGGUGAAGUCGUAACAAGGUAGCCCUAGGGGAACCUGGGGCUGGAUCACCUCCUUA
RNAcentral lists this ribosomal RNA (172 nucleotides) under Shewanella putrefaciens. RNAcentral's name for it is "partial 16S ribosomal RNA". It matches the Rfam family "Bacterial small subunit ribosomal RNA", at positions 1362 to 1533 of the family's 1533-position model. The record is from RNAcentral. Lineage: Bacteria; Pseudomonadati; Pseudomonadota; Gammaproteobacteria; Alteromonadales; Shewanellaceae. RNAcentral also lists the same sequence under 5 other names.